RNA transcript from Serinus canaria (Common canary), 6109 nucleotides. It is a transcript of the gene named eukaryotic translation initiation factor 2 alpha kinase 4, with no coding region annotated. The record is from RefSeq and is a predicted model, not a curated record. The transcript has 35 exons. NCBI's taxonomy places the organism in Eukaryota, Metazoa, Chordata, Aves, Passeriformes, Fringillidae.
GAAUCCGUGUCCUGAACACUUUUAUUUCCAGUCUUUAACACAGGAAAAAUUUUUAUUUAUUAUAUACAAAUUGAUAAUGAGCAUACCCAAUUGUACCGGAGGAAACUCUAGUGAUCAGUUACAGUGACACAGGUCACAGAUGACUGAGCAAAAGAAUGUCUCUGUUGUUUCUAUUUAAAUACUUAACAGCUUUGGUCAUGCAUUUCCCACCAAAAAGCAGGCGAGACAGAAAAACCCUGCACUAAAGACACAUUCCAGGAAUGGUGAGGAACAGACACCAGCAUCACAAUCGUGAUACAAUUUAACACUUGGUUUUCGUUUGAUACUAACGACAUUAUUUAAGUGGACUGAAAGAUAAAGAAUGCGUGGAACAAGCUUUCAAUUUCAGAAGUACAAAUUGAGGGCUAUAGAAACCGACCAUUAGUGUAAAUGAUUGGUCUAUUUAUAACAAAAAAUACGUACUCAAAGUGAGUAAAGUCAAAGUCACCAAAACUCCGUUCCUAUAUCUGGGUGCGUGGUAGCAACCUGCAGACUACUACAACUUUUUUUUUUUUUUGCCUGGGGAUUACUCACCUAGAUAAGCUUAUAGAUAAGUUAUAUGUAUGAAUUUACUUGGGGUUUCUUUAUGAAGAUCUCAAAACUUUAAAGGCUCCCCCUUGUGGCAGUCCUCUUCAGUAGUUCCCGUGUGAAGUGACCGAAGGAAAGCACGUUUUCCUCGCUGGUUGUCACUGCUCCCCUGACAGCCCGCAGCUGCCUCUCUCUGGCAGUCCCACCAAGGACACCCGGCCUCACUGUUUUGUUUGCAGUUCCACCAAAGACGGUUCGCUUUCCCCCUGCUAUUGCUCACUACAGCAGCUGCCGGUGGGAACCUUUCUGCAGUUUUCACAGGAACUUGUAUCCCGCCUCAGCUCUACAUGAAAUCUACAGUGAAAUUCGUGAUUAUUUUUUUCCCUUUUGUGACUCUUUCUCAAGGUCAAUUUUAAAAGACGUACACAGUAUCCAACUGUCUUUGCUGUGUAUCCCUGUAAUGCAGAUGUACCUGGAGGCAUAUCUUUUGGGAGUUCAGACUGGAUUAGAGGAGGUUCUUCACCCAGAGGGCGGUUGAUCACCGGAACACGUUCCCAGGGAAGGGGCCGUGGCACCAAGUCUCCCAGAGUUUGGACAGUGCUCUUAGUCACAGUGUUUAGUUUAGGGAGUACCGUGAGGAGCAGGGCGUCGCACUCGGUGAUCCUUACGGGUCCAUUCCAACUCGGCACGUUCCUGUGGACGAACCACCGGGCCCCACGCGGCACCGGCGGCCCCGGCUCCGGCUCCUCCUCCUGCCGCCGCGGCGGAGGCGGUGCCGGGCCGCGCUCCGGCUCCAGUCCCACAGCGGCAGCGCGGGGCCCGCCAUGGCCGCUGCGCGCCCCCGCCGGCGCCGCUGACAUGGCCCGGGCCAGCGGCGGGCGGCAACUGCCGGAGCAGCUCGCUGCGGAGCCGUCCGCUGCGGAGCCGCCGGAGAGUUACCAGAUGCGGCAGGAGAACGAGCUCCAGGUGCUGGAGUCCAUUUACGGGCAGGACUUCCAGGACCUGCGGCAGAGCCAGGCCUGGAAGGUACGACAACCUCCUGAAAUUAAUUUAGUUCUGCGUCCUCAGGGAUUGACUGGUGCUAAUGAAGUGUAUGCCAAAGUUGACCUGUGGGUCAAGUGUCCACAUACUUACCCUGAUACAGUACCAGAAAUACAACUAAAAAAUUCAAAAGGCUUGUCAAAUGAGAAAAUAAAUGAACUAAAAUCCAGACUAGCUGAAUUAGCAAAACAGCGCUGUGGAGAGGUGAUGAUAUUUGAACUUGCUGACCAUGUACAGUCUUUUCUUAGUGAGUAUAAUAAACCACCUUCCAAGUCUUUUCAUGAAGAAAUGCUCAAAAAUCAUCAGAAAGAGCAGGAAAGAUUGGCUCAAGAGGAGUUGCGUAAGGCACAAGAAGUUAAGAGAAGAGAGGAGCAGGAGCAACGUGAAAUCCUUAACGAGAUUCAAAGAAGGGAGGAAGAGAAAAGGGAAGAAAGAAAAAAGAAAGAGAUUGCCAAACAGGAACGUUUGGAAAUAGCUGCUCUGACAAAUCAAGAAGAUUCUCACAGGAGAGAUACUGCAGGACAUAGAGUUGCUUCACGCUUAAAUGGGAGCUGUUUGGAACAUGGGGUGAAUAAUAAACACCGACCAAAUUCAGCUGGACGUUCCAAACGAGAGCGCCAACUUUCUGUUAGUAAUAAUGAAGAGUCCCCUGGAAAUCACGAAGUUCUGAACUUCAGCACAAGUGGUGCUGGACAGCUUACUGUCCAUAAAGGAAAAUGUCUAGGCAGAGAUGAACAGCUUGGUAAAUCUGUCUACAAUGCCCUGGAAAUUCACAGUGGAGAUUUUGUUCUAAUAUAUGAGUGGGUUCUGCACUGGCAAAAAAAGAUGGGAAAGUUUCUUACAACUCAUGAAAUAGAAAAGAUUGAGAAGUCUAAGAAACAGCUUCAGGGAGCAGAAACAGAGUUCAACUCACUGGUGAAGCUAAGUCACCCAAACAUAGUACAUUACAAAUGCAUGAACCUCAAAGAACGGGACAACUCCAUUGUGGUGGAUAUUUUAGUGGAGCACAUAAGUGGGUGCAGCCUUUCUACAUACUUGGACAAAGAGACUCCAGUUCCCGUUGAGCAGUUGCGCCAUUAUGUGAUCCAGAUCUUGUCAGCUCUCGACUACUUGCACAAUAAUUCAGUAGUGCACAAGGUCCUUUGUGCUUCCAGUGUCCUGGUGGAUGCUGAAGGAAACAUCAAGGUCACAGACUACAGCAUUUCCAAGCGCUUAGCUGACAUCUGCAAAGCUGAUGUUUUUGAGCAAACCAAGGUUCGUUUUAGUGAGGAUGGUCUUCCCAACAAACCUGGAAAAAAAGGAGAUGUAUGGCGUCUGGGCUUGCUUCUGCUUUCACUCAGCCAGGGCCAAGUAACCAAGGAGUUCCCAGUUGCUGUGCCUACCAGUUUACCUGCUGACUUUCAAGACUUUCUAGAAAAGUGUGUUUGCUUGGAGGAUAAAGAAAGAUGGACUCCUCAACAGUUGCUACAACAUAGUUUUAUAAACAUUCCACGAAUAAAAAUACCUGUAGCUGAAGAAAAUCUAGAUGAUUCAGCAGGUAUAGAUUGCAUAGAGACAGUUGUACCCAGCAGUCAGAUAUCCAGUGCUUCGUUCUUCACAGAAACACAGAGACAAUUUUCACGAUACUACAAUGAGUUUGAAGAGCUAAAAUUACUUGGUAAAGGGGCUUUUGGAGCAGUCAUCAAGGUGAGAAAUAAGCUUGAUGGUUGCUAUUACGCUGUGAAACGUAUUCGCAUAAACCCCAGCAGCAAGCAGUUCCGGAGGAUUAAGGGGGAAGUGACGUUGCUUUCCCGCUUGAACCAUGAGAAUAUUGUGAGGUAUUACAAUGCUUGGAUAGAAAAACAAGAAAGCCCUGUCCCCACUGUGUCAACAUGUGAAACAACUGACGAGAGGAGAAUGCCCCCCAAAGCUGGUCUCUUCAUCCUUUCCACUGAGGAGACAAAUGAUGUGGAAACUAAUGCUCCUCCUCCGUGUUUGACAAGUUCAGUUGAGUGGAGCACUUCAUGUGAAAGAUCCUCCAGCAACAAAUUCAGUGGAACUGAUCAGGAGUCCAGCGAUGACGACGAUGAUGGUGAUGGCGUGUUCUCCCAUUCAAUUUUGCCAACCACAGAUUCUGAAAGCGAAAUAAUUUUUGAAAACGAAGAUGAAAAUAGUAAAGGUCAUUCUCCAAAUGAAGAAGGCAAUGAAAAGAAUAGCCAUGGAGGAGAGGACAGGACACCAGUCAUUCAGACAGUGCAUUAUCUGUACAUUCAGAUGGAAUAUUGUGAAAAGAGCACAUUAAGGGACACUAUUGACCAAGGGUUACAUGAAGAUACCAGUCGGCUUUGGAGGCUUUUCCGAGAAAUUUUGGAUGGCUUAGCUUACAUCCAUGAGAAGGGAAUGAUCCACAGAGACUUGAAACCUGUGAACAUUUUUUUAGAUUCAGAUGAUCAUGUGAAAAUUGGUGAUUUUGGUUUAGCUACAGAUUAUCCUGCAAAUGCAGUGGUCUCUAAACAAGAGGAAAAUCUCUCGGAUGGUUCUGCUGUGUCUGACCCAUCAGGUAACUUGACAGGGAUGGUUGGCACGGCUCUGUACGUCAGCCCAGAGGUCCAAGGAAGCACUAAAUCUACAUACAAUCAGAAAGUGGACCUGUUCAGCCUAGGUAUAAUAUUCUUUGAAAUGUGUUAUCAUCCUAUGAAUACUGCAUCAGAAAGGAUCUUUGUUCUUGGUCAGCUAAGGCUGCCUGCGAUUGUAUUUCCUAAGGACUUUGAUGAAGUCAAGCAUGCAAAGCAGAGAUUGGUUAUUACAUGGCUCCUCAACCAUGAUCCUGCAGCACGACCAACAGCUGUGGAGCUGUUAAAAAGUGAACAUCUUCCACCACCACAAAUGGAAGAGUCUGAACUCCAUGAAGUCCUGCACCACACCUUAGCAAACGUUGAUGGCAAAGCCUACCGGACUAUGAUGAGUCAGAUAUUUGCACAGCGUAUAUCUCCAGCAAUAGACUAUACUUAUGACAGUGAUAUGCUGAAGGGUAGUUUUUCUAUUUGGGCAGCCAAGAUACAGCAGCAUGUAUGUGACAUUGUCAGCCGGAUAUUUAAAAGACACGGAGCCAUCAAGCUGCAUACUCCACUGCUGAUGCCCAGAAAUAAGAAACUGUAUGAACAUAAUGAAGCUUCAUAUUUCAUGGAUCACAGUGGGAUGCUGGUAAUGCUUCCUUACGACCUCAGAAUUCCUUUUGCAAGAUUUGUAGCUAGAAAUAACAUCUCCAACUUGAAAAGAUACUGUAUAGAGCGAGUUUUCAGACCUCGGAAGUUAGACCGCUGUCAUCCCAAAGAACUCCUAGAAUGUGCAUUUGACAUCAUUACAUCUACUGGAAAUAGCUUUUUGCCUAUAGCAGAAACAAUUUAUGCAAUUUCAGAAAUCAUUCAAGAGUUUUCAGUCCUACAGGAAAGAAAUUACAGUAUUUAUCUAAACCACACUGCCUUACUGAAAGCUAUACUUUUGCACUGUGGGAUACCAGAAGACAAACUCAAUCAAGUCUACAUCAUUCUCUAUGAUGCUGUGACUGAAAAGCUAACUAAAAGAGAAGUAGAAGCCAAGUUCUGUAAUCUUUCUCUCACAUCAGCUAGUCUUUCUCGACUCUAUAAAUUCAUUGAGCAGAAGGGAGAAGCAAGUAAUGUAUUUCCCUUUCUAAACACAAUGAUAAAACAAAAGCCAAGUGUCACUCAGCUGCUGAAGCAUGGCAUGAAGGAUUUAGAGGAAAUCAUUGGUCUGUUAAAGCAACUGGGAAUUAAACUUCAGAUCUCUAUAAAUCUGGGACUAGUUUACAAAAUACAGCAGCACAAUGGUAUUAUCUUUCAGUUUAUAGCAUACAUCAAAAGAAGACAAAGAACUGUGCCUGAAAUUCUGGCUGCAGGAGGCAGAUAUGAUCAUCUGAUUCCACAGUUUAGAGGGCCGCAGAUGGUAGGACCAGUUCCUUCAGCUGUUGGAGUCAGCAUAGCUAUAGAUAAAAUAACUGCUGCUGUUUCCAGUCUGGAGGAUUCUGUUUCUGUCAGCUCCUGUGACCUGCUGGUUGUAAGUGUUGGUCAGAUGUCAAUGGGUAGAGCUAUCAACAUUGUUCAGAAAUUCUGGACUGCAGGAAUUCCAGCUGAAAUAAUGUAUGACUGGUCCCAGUCCCAGGAAGAACUGCAGGAAUACUGCAGGUGCUCUGGGAUUACAUAUGUGGCUCUGGUGUCUGAGAAAGAAGGAAGUCAUGUGAAGGUGAAAUCCUUUGAGAAAGACAGGCAGACGGAGAAAAGGAUUUUGGAGUCUGACUUAGUAGAUCAUCUGAUCCAGAAACUGAAAAUGAAAAUCGGUGAUGAAAGAUGUAGUAGGUGUGUUUGACUCACAUGGAAGUCUUGUAGUGCCUAACGUUAGUGUUAUAGCUCCUGAAAAACUGUCUGCCAGUGCCAGGCGUCGUCAAGAAAUUCAGGUACAAACAAGACUUCAGACAUUCAUUUCUAGCCUGCAACAAAAAACAAGU